CCUCCUACGGGGGGCUGCAGUGGGGAAUAUUGGACAAUGGGCGCAAGCCUGAUCCAGCCAUACCGCGUGGGUGAAGAAGGCCUUCGGGUUGUAAAGCCCUUUUGUUGGGAAAGAAAUCCUGUCGGUUAAUACCUGGCGGGGAUGACGGUACCCAAAGAAUAAGCACCGGCUAACUUCGUGCCAGCAGCCGCGGUAAUACGAAGGGUGCAAGCGUUACUCGGAAUUACUGGGCGUAAAGCGUGCGUAGGUGGUGGUUUAAGGCCGUUGUGAAAGCCCUGGGCUCAACCUGGGAAUUGCAGUGGAUACUGGAUCACUAGAGUGUGGUAGAGGGAUGCGGAAUUUCUGGUGUAGCAGUGAAAUGCGUAGAGAUCAGAAGGAACAUCCGUGGCGAAGGCGGCAUCCUGGGCCAACACUGACACUGAGGCACGAAAGCGUGGGGAGCAAACAGGAUUAGAUACCCCUGUAGUC
This 468-nucleotide ribosomal RNA is filed under the name uncultured Pseudoxanthomonas sp. Its description in RNAcentral is "bacterial SSU rRNA". It matches the Rfam family "Bacterial small subunit ribosomal RNA", at positions 335 to 795 of the family's 1533-position model. Lineage: Bacteria; Pseudomonadati; Pseudomonadota; Gammaproteobacteria; Lysobacterales; Lysobacteraceae. The record is from RNAcentral.